UCGAGAAUCAUUCACAAUGGGGGAAACCCUGAUGGUGCGACGCCGCGUGGGGGAAUGAAGGUCUUCGGAUUGUAAACCCCUGUCAUGUGGGAGCAAAUUAAAAAGAUAGUACCACAAGAGGAAGAGACGGCUAACUCUGUGCCAGCAGCCGCGGUAAUACAGAGGUCUCAAGCGUUGUUCGGAAUCACUGGGCGUAAAGCGUGCGUAGGCGGUUUCGUAAGUCGUGUGUGAAAGGCAGGGGCUCAACCCCCGGACUGCACAUGAUACUGCGAGACUAGAGUAAUGGAGGGGGAACCGGAAUUCUCGGUGUAGCAGUGAAAUGCGUAGAUAUCGAGAGGAACACUCGUGGCGAAGGCAGGUUCCUGGACAUUAACUGACGCUGAGGCACGAAGGCCAGGGGAGCGAAAGGG
This 410-nucleotide ribosomal RNA is filed under the name Acidobacteriota bacterium. RNAcentral describes it as "Acidobacteria bacterium partial 16S ribosomal RNA". It matches the Rfam family "Bacterial small subunit ribosomal RNA", at positions 355 to 776 of the family's 1533-position model. Lineage: Bacteria; Pseudomonadati; Acidobacteriota. The record is from RNAcentral.